GAUGAACGCUGGCGGCGUGCCUAAUACAUGCAAGUCGAGCGAACGGACGAGAAGCUUGCUUCUCUGAUGUUAGCGGCGGACGGGUGAGUAACACGUGGAUAACCAACCUAUAAGACUGGGAUAACUUCGGGAAACCGGAGCUAAUACCGGAUAAUAUUUUGAACCGCAUGGUUCAAAAGUGAAAGACGGUCUUGCUGUCACUUAUAGAUGGAUCCGCGCUGCAUUAGCUAGUUGGUAAGGUAACGGCUUACCAAGGCAACGAUGCAUAGCCGACCUGAGAGGGUGAUCGGCCACACUGGAACUGAGACACGGUCCAGACUCCUACGGGAGGCAGCAGUAGGGAAUCUUCCGCAAUGGGCGAAAGCCUGACGGAGCAACGCCGCGUGAGUGAUGAAGGUCUUCGGAUCGUAAAACUCUGUUAUUAGGGAAGAACAUAUGUGUAAGUAACUGUGCACAUCUUGACGGUACCUAAUCAGAAAGCCACGGCUAACUACGUGCCAGCAGCCGCGGUAAUACGUAGGUGGCAAGCGUUAUCCGGAAUUAUUGGGCGUAAAGCGCGCGUAGGCGGUUUUUUAAGUCUGAUGUGAAAGCCCACGGCUCAACCGUGGAGGGUCAUUGGAAACUGGAAAACUUGAGUGCAGAAGAGGAAAGUGGAAUUCCAUGUGUAGCGGUGAAAUGCGCAGAGAUAUGGAGGAACACCAGUGGCGAAGGCGACUUUCUGGUCUGUAACUGACGCUGAUGUGCGAAAGCGUGGGGAUCAAACAGGAUUAGAUACCCUGGUAGUCCACGCCGUAAACGAUGAGUGCUAAGUGUUAGGGGGUUUCCGCCCCUUAGUGCUGCAGCUAACGCAUUAAGCACUCCGCCUGGGGAGUACGACCGCAAGGUUGAAACUCAAAGGAAUUGACGGGGACCCGCACAAGCGGUGGAGCAUGUGGUUUAAUUCGAAGCAACGCGAAGAACCUUACCAAAUCUUGACAUCCUUUGACAACUCUAGAGAUAGAGCCUUCCCCUUCGGGGGACAAAGUGACAGGUGGUGCAUGGUUGUCGUCAGCUCGUGUCGUGAGAUGUUGGGUUAAGUCCCGCAACGAGCGCAACCCUUAAGCUUAGUUGCCAUCAUUAAGUUGGGCACUCUAAGUUGACUGCCGGUGACAAACCGGAGGAAGGUGGGGAUGACGUCAAAUCAUCAUGCCCCUUAUGAUUUGGGCUACACACGUGCUACAAUGGACAAUACAAAGGGCAGCGAAACCGCGAGGUCAAGCAAAUCCCAUAAAGUUGUUCUCAGUUCGGAUUGUAGUCUGCAACUCGACUACAUGAAGCUGGAAUCGCUAGUAAUCGUAGAUCAGCAUGCUACGGUGAAUACGUUCCCGGGUCU
This 1372-nucleotide ribosomal RNA is filed under the name uncultured bacterium. RNAcentral's name for it is "bacterial SSU rRNA". It matches the Rfam family "Bacterial small subunit ribosomal RNA", at positions 28 to 1381 of the family's 1533-position model. The record is from RNAcentral.